This 253-nucleotide ribosomal RNA is filed under the name uncultured bacterium. RNAcentral's name for it is "partial 16S ribosomal RNA". It matches the Rfam family "Bacterial small subunit ribosomal RNA", at positions 524 to 776 of the family's 1533-position model. The record is from RNAcentral.
UACAGAGGUCUCAAGCGUUGUUCGGAUUCAUUGGGCGUGAAGGGUGCGUAGGCGGCGCGGUAAGUCGGGUGUGAAAUCUCGGGGCUUAACUCCGAAACUGCAUUCGAUACUGCCGUGCUUGAGGACUGGAGAGGAGACUGGAAUUUACGGUGUAGCGGUGAAAUGCGUAGAUAUCGUAAGGAAGACCAGUGGCGAAGGCGGGUCUCUGGACAGUUCCUGACGCUGAGGCACGAAGGUCAGGGGAGCAAACGGG